This 597-nucleotide ribosomal RNA is filed under the name Morchella eximia. RNAcentral describes it as "partial large subunit ribosomal RNA". It matches the Rfam family "Eukaryotic large subunit ribosomal RNA", at positions 51 to 658 of the family's 3401-position model. The record is from RNAcentral. Lineage: Eukaryota; Fungi; Ascomycota; Pezizomycetes; Pezizales; Morchellaceae.
CGGAGGAAAAGAAACCAACAGGGAUUGCCUCAGUAACGGCGAGUGAAGCGGCAAAAGCUCAAAUUUUAAAGCUGGCAUCUUCGGUGUCCGCGUUGUAAUUUUGUGAGGCAUCUCCGGGCAGGGCGCCGGCCUAAGUUCCUUGGAACAGGACGUCACAGAGGGUGAGAAUCCCGUGCUUGGCUGGCUGUCCCCGUCCAUGUGAGGUGUCUUCGACGAGUCGAGUUGUUUGGGAAUGCAGCUCAAAAUGGGUGGUAAAUUUCAUCUAAAGCUAAAUAUUGGUGGGAGACCGAUAGCGCACAAGUAGAGUGAUCGAAAGAUGAAAAGCACUUUGAAAAUAGAGUUAAAAAGUACGUGAAAUUGUUGAAAGGGAAGCGCUUGAGACCAGACUUCGGUAGGGGGUGAUCAGCCGUCCUUCUGGGCGGUGCACUUGCCCCCCUCCGGGCCAGCAUCGGUUGAGGCGGCGGGAUAAAGGUCCCGGGAAUGUGGCUCCUUCACGGGAGUGUUAUAGCCCGGGUGAAUGCCGCCAGCUUCGACCGAGGACCGCGCCCGCAAGGGUUAGGAUGCUUGGCAUAAUGGUCUUCAGCGACCCGUCUUGAA